Cavia porcellus (domestic guinea pig) is the source of this 941-nucleotide long non-coding RNA. RefSeq lists it as uncharacterized. Lineage: Eukaryota; Metazoa; Chordata; Mammalia; Rodentia; Caviidae. The record is from RefSeq and is a predicted model, not a curated record. The transcript is spliced from 3 exons.
GAUCCUCUUGCCUCAGAAUGCUGCCUCCAGAUUGCUAGAAUUACGAACAUGCACUGUCAUGGCCAGGAAUAAGAAGUGUGGAUCUGACUUCUGGCUCUAGGGUGAAACCUCUUCAGCUGGUUGCUGCUCCCAUUGUGUUUCUCCGGUUUUCUGCGGAAAUGACCAUCUGGCAGGACUUCCCACACAUGACCACUAGAGGGCACAGGAUUUCCAGCUCUUGAAGUUUGUGCCACAGCCAAUUCCUGGGGCUUUGCUACAUAAAAGGACAGUUUUUGUUUGUUUGCUUGUUUGUUUCCCCCCAGAAACGGGGAGAAAGCACUUGAAAUUCCCUGGGUGCAGCAAAGACAUUUUCUACAGCAUUCAUCUGUGAAAUGCUGGCUGCAAGCGGCAGACUUUCUGGCGGCUGGAGGAAGGACUGUGUUCUCCGUUCCCGACUCUGAUUUUCACCAAGGGGAAAAGAGCUGCAGAAUGCUGUACAAAUGAGUUUGGCUCUAAGAUUCUCAAAGAGAAUGUAUUUGAAGACAUGUGUGUCUAGCCAGGCCUUACAGUAUAGAGGAAAUAAUGUGCAUGAGAAUGAGAGGCCUGGAUGCCAGGAUGGUCGCAGGGUGGGCAGAAGGGGCCCCUCCAAGUCCAUCCUGGAGAGACCUCCCUGCGUGGGCCUGCCCUCAGGAGGGGUGCAGUGUAGGUACUAUAUCCUACUCAGGCAGUUGAAAAAUCAAGAAGGGUAAAUAAACAGGAAUAUGAGUUAAAAGUUAGGACUGAUCAGGGUAAGGUCAAAAUUAGAAUGCUUACCAUUUAAGCUAGCAGGGGCUGGAGAUUUAGCUCAGUGGCGUAAGUGCCUGCCUGGCAAGUAUGAGGUUGUGAGUUCAAUCCCUGACACACAUACACACACAAAAACUCCCCAAAAAACCUCACCUGUAACUUUUAAACUUGCAGGCAAA